AACUUUUUGAAUCCAUGCAAAGAUUUUAUCAGACAGCAACCUAUUAGAGUUGAUCAAACUUUCAAGAUAAGUGAAGUU
Molecule: non-coding RNA, 78 nt
Organism: Schistosoma curassoni
Lineage: Eukaryota; Metazoa; Platyhelminthes; Trematoda; Strigeidida; Schistosomatidae
Source: Rfam